Molecule: ribosomal RNA, 527 nt
Filed under: uncultured bacterium
Lineage: Bacteria
Description: bacterial SSU rRNA
Rfam family: Archaeal small subunit ribosomal RNA
Source: RNAcentral
AGAGAAUAGAUACCCUGGUAGUCCCAGCUGUAAACGAUGCAGACUAGGUGUUUGGACGGCCACGUGCCGUUCUAGUGCCGCAGGGAAGCUGUUAAGUCUGCCGCCUGGGGAGUACGAUCGCAAGAUUGAAACUUAAAGGAAUUGGCGGGGGAGCACCACAAGGGGUGAAAGCUUGCGGUUUAAUUGGAGUCAACGCCGGAAAUUUCACCGGGAGCGACAGCAGUAUGAAAGCCAGAUUGAAGGUCUUGCUAGACGAGCUGAGAGGAGGUGCAUGGCCGUCGCCAGUUCGUGCCGUGAGGUGUCCUGUUAAGUCAGGCAACGAUCGAGACCCGCGUCCUCUGUUGCAACCAGCUUUGAGCUGGGCACACUGAGGAGACCGCCACUGAUAAAGUGGAGGAAGGAGCGGGCCACGGCAGGUCAGUAUGCCCCGAAUCUCCCGGGGCCACACGCGAGCUGCAAUGGCAAGUACAAUGGGUUCCGACCUCGAAAGGGGGAGGCAAUCUCGAAAGCUUGCCGUAGUUGGAAUU